GAAGAUGAGCUCGCGUCCGAUUAGGUAGUAGGCGGGGUAACGGCCCACCUAGCCUGCGAUGGAUAGGGGUUCUGAGAGGGAGGUCCCCCACAUUGGAACUGAGACACGGUCCAAACUCCUACGGGAGGCAGCAGUGAGGAAUAUUGGUCAAUGGGCGAGAGCCUGAACCAGCCAAGUAGCGUGAAGGAUGAAGGUCCUACGGAUUGUAAACUUCUUUAUAAGGGAAUAAAACGCUCCACGUGUGGAGCCUUGUAUGUACCUUAUGAAUAAGCAUCGGCU
RNAcentral lists this ribosomal RNA (279 nucleotides) under uncultured Bacteroides sp. Its description in RNAcentral is "partial 16S ribosomal RNA". It matches the Rfam family "Bacterial small subunit ribosomal RNA", at positions 221 to 498 of the family's 1533-position model. Lineage: Bacteria; Pseudomonadati; Bacteroidota; Bacteroidia; Bacteroidales; Bacteroidaceae. The record is from RNAcentral.